Molecule: long non-coding RNA, 734 nt
Organism: Cercocebus atys (sooty mangabey)
Lineage: Eukaryota; Metazoa; Chordata; Mammalia; Primates; Cercopithecidae
Exons: 4
Source: RefSeq, a predicted model, not a curated record
GGCCUCCCAAAGUGCUGGGGUUCCAGGCGUGAGCCACCGUGCCUGGCCUUAUUUUCUUUCUAAUUUUAUUUCAAGUAUUGCAUUAUUCUAAACCCCACAUUGACGAAUAUCAUCCACCUGCUCAGCAGCUAUAAAUGGUGGAGUUAGAAAUGAAGUUCUUUAUCUCACUCAAAGGAAUUAGCCCAGAGAAGCCCUUUUCCCUUAUAAUUUUCCGGUCUACUGUGAAGGUUUUCGACAACCUUUCGGCUUAUCCAGUGGAUCUCAAGCACAGGUACACAGUGGUAUCAAGAAUGGACAUUGAUCUACUUGUCACUCAGCUUAAAAAAUGAAACAUCAACAAUGCAGUUGAAGCCCCCUGUGCACCCUUCUCCAGUUGUAUCCUUCUCCUGCCUCCCUGCUGCUGUCAUUUCCAGAUGAGGAAAUAGAUGUUAGAAUGGAGACCUGCCCAAUGUCAAACAACUAAGAAGCAGAACUGGAACGGGAACCUGACUUUCUCAGCAGCAACUUCAAUGCCUUCUUAUAGGUUCAUUAUUGUUGUUAUACUUUUAUUAUGCUUCUAUUGUGCUGUGUAAUUUGUUUUUAAAAAUUCAAAUUAGUUAACCUCUUGUAGACAUUCAUUGAAAUACAUUUGUUUAGCACCUGUGUAAACUGCUCACCAUUUAGUUGGGAGAAAGGUAAAUAAACAAAGUUACAAAGACAAAACAUACUUUGCAAUUUGGAGACUUAAUAAAUGU